Folsomia candida is the source of this 1121-nucleotide long non-coding RNA. RefSeq lists it as uncharacterized. The record is from RefSeq and is a predicted model, not a curated record. The transcript has 2 exons. Lineage: Eukaryota; Metazoa; Arthropoda; Collembola; Entomobryomorpha; Isotomidae.
UUCGUUUAAAUUAUGAAAACUUUUAUUUAUUCUUCAUUUACUGCAAUGCACAUAGCUUUAGUGUAACAACUGUUAGUACAGCACAGUUUUUGAACCACUAAGGCAAAAUUCAAAGAUAUUUUGCAUAUUAUUCUCUGAUCCAGUCUUUCUAUCAACCACUUUUUUCUGUCCCCACUACAUCAAAAUUUAUACCAGCCAAAACACCAAUCGCACACAAUUAUUUUUGGUUUUUACGCGAGAAGACAAAUUCACAUUUUCUGAAUCAGUCUAAGGACAGGUAUGAUCUGGUUGUCCAAACUAUUAAAAUAAUCCUAGUGACCCUACGAUGAAGAUCCCUAGACUAGAAAGCGUCGCAUGCUAAGGAUAUCCUAGACGUUAGGGUAAAAAUUAACUAAUUAACCCCCCCCCACAAGCGGUAUGAAAAAGCAAUAAUCCGUUUAAUGAUGGGAAUAGAUAUACGACGGAAACGUAUAGGAUACCUUAUGCCAAAUAUGCUAAAGGUUAGCUGAUUACAAGGCAAGAGGUCAUAUUGUCCGGAAUUGACCAAAAACUGUCCAAUUUCCUCGAUAAGGAAAGGAAACGAUAUAAAAAAUAUUUGGAUAACGUCAUGAUGAAGUUGGAACACCCCCUCACGUGUGGAGCUUUGUGCAGGUCUGCAGGUCUUUCCACCGGGCAACACAAUGUAGAAAUUUAGCUAAGAUCCAUGCUUCUUGCAGGAAUUGGAGGAAUAUCGCAGUGGGGAAUUUACGAAAAAUCUAGGUUCAUAGCGCACAGCUGUGUCGGCAACACGAUAACAAUCCGCAAUGAGGAGAAGAAUGAGGAGGCGCUAUUUGCGACACAAAAUAUUCCCUCUGGAACCGUUUUGACGAAACGAUUCGACUACGAGACCAUUAUGUGGAUGGGAAUCGUUGAGAGGAGGGCUCACUUGAAUAAAAAAUUCGACUUUUGGUGCAAUUGUGAAAAAUGCAAGGAACCCUAUGAUGAGUUGGGAACAUAUUGUCGUCUUCAAUUUUUCGUUGCCGCAGGAGGAAAAUAUUGUCAAGUACACAUAAUACAUGCAUUCUACUUGUAAUUUAACUAGCUUUUUAAUGGAACAAAAAUAAAUUUGAAAUUUCUUAAAA